UUAUGGUCGAAGCAUUUGCUUCAAAACUUGAAGCUUUGUAAGAUAUACCCAAUGGCCCUUGUUAUAUAACCAAUCAACUAAUAGAAGACUAAACAUAUAGAAGUUUCGUGGGGCUCUAAGGAACAACCUAUUAGUUCUUACUAUCCUAGAAUAGUUUCUGUAUGUAACAAGUUGGAUGCAGAAUACUUGUAUGCCCCAAGUCGCUUUAAUUACAGUCACUAGCCUGCCCCAGUUUGUGACUUCUUUGGAUGUUGCUUAAAAUUGCAAUCUCAAGAGUUGGUUUAGUCUCACAUUUACUAGUAAUAUUGUCAAAUUAAAAUAUAUAAGUAGAAAACAGUCCCCGCUUUAAAAGAUAGCUGUGUAUUUGACUUAGACUUAAACUCAAAUAUUAAGAUAACAUCAGAUACUAUGUUGGGUCACUUGUAUAUCUACCAUGUUCUAGGUUGGAAGUCCUAGGCAUAAAGGACUGUGUUAGAAAAUCAUCUUAGUUGUGAUCACCCCUAGCCCACUCAAGUUCCGGUCUCUUUGGGGUUGCCUUGCAAUCUUAAGGGUGGUGGUUUAGUCUACACAAUAAUUUUUUAGAUUAAUGUCUCUCAACACAAUUUUCAAAGAUAUAAUUCAACUUUACCAUCAUUCUUUAGUUCUGCUAAUGUCAAUUGAGAUCCUAAAAUGCAAACUGUAACAAGAUAAUAGCCAUCCUGAUUCCACUGUUUGUUUAUUUAAUUAAUUUUUAAAGUUGACAUGUUCCAUAUAUUUAAGAAAUAAAUCAAGCCAACAAUUAGACAAGGUGAGGAUAAAUAUAUCUUAGGGUUGUACCUUCAAGUCUGGUAAUUCAAUCAGACAAGCACACUCCACAACAUCAACCCCAACACGUUCUGCAAUAAAGGGAGUAACAAACAGAACAACUAAGAAUGUAUUGAAAUGCUUAUGUUAAGCAUUAAACAGUAUAAAAUACACUUCCAAGUUAAACAGUCACUUCACUUGAAAACACCAUCUUUAAAAGGAUGGUAUUAGGUUCAUUACCCAGAAACAAGCUUUUCUCUUCUCAUUAAAAGCACAUCAUACAUGCAUUAUUUGUCUGAAUGUAUAAAUAAACAGAAAGAAGAAAACCAUGAAUGCUGAAACACUGAUAGGAUGAUCUCUUCUGUGGUUCAAUGGGUCCGAAGAAAGGAAAGUUAAAUGCACAAAAAGGAAGUACUUAAAUUCCACAACAAAUUUUACAUAGAAAUGCCCCUUAGAUUGAGAUGCCUAUAAGAACAUAAAAUGUGUAUGGGUGUAAUGCAGACAAAAUUAAAAUGUUGGAUUAAUAUCCUUCUAUAUUUUUCUUAACAAAUUAUGUAAUAGGACCCUUCCAGAGAGGGUAUAACUCAAGUAAACCAAAAAACUCAGAAAGACAAAGUGUAAAAUAAAACAAAGAGCAACAGAAUAAAGCAUACUGGUUUACUUCAGGAGAGAGGAAGAGAGAACACCAAAUACUGUCAUGCAUUCUAUUUCACAAGCAAUAAGGGAAAACAUCUUAAUGAACUUCAUCUAUUAUUUUGUGCAAAUAAACCAAAAAAGAAGUAUCAAAGAUAUAAUCAUGUAUCCCAGUGCCUAAGGCUCCUCACUUUACGAAGGAAUAAUUAUACACAGCCUUUCCGUUGCAUAUUCAAAGAAGCUAUUUCCUUAUUCGAGCCCAUGAUGAACUGGUCACCAAGGCAUAACUUCACCGUUAUGCCAAAGCUCAUCCUUGUACCAGGUAAUAUACUAUUAAACAGAAAUUCUUACCAGUGAUCUUGUCAGUUCUUCAUUUUCAUGAUAGUAUAUGGCACAUAUAUCCAAUAACUUUGGCAAUUCAAGCAACUUUUUCUCCUGCAAAAGAACUACAGGCAAAAUUAGUGAACAACGGUGAAUCACAACAAAAAAAGACAAAAUAUGAGGUAAUAUUACUCGACAAGAAUCCACAAUGGAAAUAAUUUUCCAAACACUUCCUAUUUCUUGUAUACAAAUAACAUUUCUAAAACAGCACAAAAUCAUUGUUCCAAUGCGAGUUCAAUCUCUGCCUGGGCCAAGACUUACAAAUGCACACAGUAUGUAUGUGCGCUGUCUUAACAAAGGAAUUAGUAAUAAAAAACAUGUAGUGGUCACUCAAACAAAAACGUCUAUAUUGUCCACAACCUAAAAAAAGUCAAAUGAUUUUCGCUAGGAUGCAAAUACAGGUAACUUCCGGCUGAUGAUGUCGACUGUUACGUUUGAGUGGAGGAGGAAGGGGUUUUAUUUUGUUCUUCAGCCAUAUCUGUAAGGAAAAACAAUAAGGAAAAAGAAAAUUCAGAAAAGCGAGAAUCGGAAACUGAUUGAGAAAGAAAAUGAAAAAGAACAAGAGAUUGAAACAAGAAAAUCAGAGUUACGCAACAGAGCUCUUCAAUUGAAGAGCUAUGAUACCAUAACACGAUUAGUGCAAAUCUGAGAUGAAGAUGCGCCUUGCGGGAGAUGGUUGAAGGAGUUCCAAUCUGUGAAAAAGAGCCCCUGCGUAGAAGACAAAAGCGCUUGUGCUUUGGAUCAAAAAGGGGGCUGCAACAUCAACGCUGUAAACAAACCAGUAUGAACACGAAAGGGUCUUUAUUCGAAGAACUGCAAUGCACACACAUUACAAAAAAUCACAGAUAAAAAAAACAGAGUCCAAAACAGAGCAUCACUCCAACUCAUGAGAAACUUACAUGCGAUACAAUACCAUGAAAAACGCGGCGACACAAAUCGCGCUCCCCAACAAUAACACCUGCAACAAUCCCUUUCACCCCGCGAUGAGGGAAAUCAUACCACAAGUCUAAUCUAAAAUGGGAAUUAGUUGAAAAGAACAGGUUAAUUAUGAGAAAAAUCUUAAAAAAAAUAAGAAAGAAACAAGAAGAAACUUGUUUAAAAGAUCGGAUCUUCUUUCAUCUAUU
RNAcentral lists this long non-coding RNA (2921 nucleotides) under Phaseolus vulgaris (common bean). Its description in RNAcentral is "long non-coding RNA (PVUL_LNC001081)". The record is from RNAcentral. Lineage: Eukaryota; Viridiplantae; Streptophyta; Magnoliopsida; Fabales; Fabaceae.